UGAAAGCUUGUCCUUUACAUCUACCUACCAUCCUCUUCAUAUCUUCCACACAAGCCACCUACCAAAACUAUCUACUAUUCCACCCACCCACUAAUUUUGUCCAUAAAUUUCCUUCACAACAAAAGAACAAAACACAUAUAAUGAAUCAACAAAUUCAGUAGGCAUAGAGGACAUACUAUGUGAAUAACAUAUCAAGAUAGAAUAUGGAGGAUGACUAAAGAUUGUAUCUGGUGGCAAACUUUCCGGUGACAAUACAGAAAAAGAGGUCCAAUAUUAGUGAGCAGGUAGAUGUGAGAACAUGUGAGGCAUGGGUAGAUGAUCUUGAAGCUGGCUGUAGUUUACCCAUAGUGGAUACUUAUUUUAGACAUUUGUUAAACGUUAAGAUGUUUAUGUAUUGAAUUGAUAUUGUGAUCGGUUGUUUAAUUUUGGGCAACCGAUGAGUUUCCAAUUGAACUUAUUUUGAUGAUAUGGCUAGUAACACCAUUUAGUGAAUGAACCAAAAA
Molecule: long non-coding RNA, 503 nt
Organism: Erigeron canadensis
Lineage: Eukaryota; Viridiplantae; Streptophyta; Magnoliopsida; Asterales; Asteraceae
Exons: 2
Source: RefSeq, a predicted model, not a curated record